CUGCCAUUUUUCUUUGGAGUAACUUGCAAAUUAAAUUUAAAGCUCUUGUAAUGUUCCAACAGGUCUCCCUCUAUAACUUUGAAACUCACUUUAUAAUUUUCCCUAUCUAUGCCUUCAACCACCUCCUUUGCCACACAACUGUUUCCAUAUGUUGUUGUUCAAACUAAAAUUUUAGCUUCUUUAUAAACUUAUUUCUCUUUAAUUUCUCCAAAAAAAUGGCACCAAGAAUCACAAUGUCUCAAAUUAUUCAUGUAAAUCAAAUUCUGAUUAUGAUGCUCUUAAGAGAAAUUGUAAGGAACAUAAUGUUUUGUUAAUGAGGUUUUGAAGUGGAAGUUUGCAUACCAUGUGUGUAAUUCCAAGAAAUGAUGGAUCCCUCGGUGCCCCAUUCUCCUUUGUGAAUUUGAAUAGACUUUACUUUCUGAGGUGACAUGUUAGCAAUAUGGUGUGGCCUAUUGCAAAAAACAUCAUAAAACUGCUUAGCAGAAGCCUUGAUAUGGAUCUUAGUUUCAAUCUUUUGAAGUUGAGAGUAUGCCAUUUUUGCUUCACUCCUGAGAAGAUAUGAAAAAUAUGUGGACAAUACACCUAUAUAUAUACUCAUCUUGUCUUGUUGGAGUAACCUAACAACACAUAACCUAAUUAAGUCUUUUAUAAAUUGAGUUAUUUAUUAAAAGUUUUCCUUAUUUUAGAUGAAAAUAAAAGUAUAUUUAAAAUAUUUAAUAUAAUUUAAAAAAAAAAUUAAAAGUAUUCCAAUUUAUGAAGCAAUUAAAACUUAAUUAUAUAUAAUAUGAUCUAGAAAAAAUCACAUUAGUUUAGGAAAAGAAUUGGAGGCAACAUUUCUUAAUAAAAAAUAACCUUAGAAUUCAUUUUGCGUUUGGUUUGAUCAUUGAUUUUUUCUAAAUUAAAGGAAUAUGUGUUUUUGAAGUUUCAGCUGAACCACCACUAGUGGAAGAGGCAUCUUCUUUUCUUUGCAAUAAUAUGACUUUAUGGGCUCACAUGGCAGAAGAUUUUAGUUUCUCCCAAUCUGAUUUUUUUUUCUAUAAAUGUAUACUUAAAUUAAGUGUUAGCAUUUAGAGAAUAAAAUUAUCAGCCUUAGGAAUAAAUUGAAGUUAGUUUUGUUCACACAAAUAAUUCAAGGUUAGCUUACUUUAAUAAAUCAUGCUUAAGUAAUAUACUAGUCAAUAAUUUAAAGUUUGAGUGGAAUUAAUAGUUGGAGAUCCCACAUCGACUAGAAAUUAGAGUCUUUCAUAGUAUAUAAGUGGGUGCAAACCUCUUUUCAUUGAAUUAGUUUUAUGAGGUUGAGUUAGAUUUAAAGUACACUUUGUAAUAUUAAUGUUAAGAUAUUUUUUUAUUCUAUGGAAUUCUCAUCAUUCAAACAACAAUUAGUCACUUAAAUUAGAGACUUUCACCUUUUUGUCAGUACAAGUCACUACAAAGAAUGUCUAUUGCUCAAAUGACACGUCUCUAAUUUAAAUUACAUGCUAAUUAAGUAAACACUUAUUUUUGUAUGCUUCAAAAUAUAUAUAUAUAUAUAUAUAAAUGAAAUCAUUGAGUUGACGUGUAUGAAAUAAAUGGAUAUAUUUGAGAUAUAAGAUUGAAUUGAGGGAAAAAAAAUUAAUAUUUAGAAUGGUAACAUAGUCAAGUUAUUUUUGUUAAGAAAAUAAUAGAUUUUAACUUUACUAAUAAUUUAAAUUACAUAUAUUAAGGUAUUUCAAAUAAUGAGAAACUGAAGAAAGGUUAUUACGUCAUCUUCCAUAUCAUAGGUGCAAAAAAUCACCUCAACAUAAGAAAUUGAGGUUGAAUUAUCAAAAGUACUUAAUAUGAAUAUUCUAUAAGGGAUCAAGUUGUAGCAAAAUUAUCUUGAUGCUAUAAGAGAUACAAUGCGUAUUUGUGUUGGCUUUUAAAAUAAAAAACAUUAGCAAGGAUCAAACCCAUACUAAAUUAAAUACAUUUUAAAAUAUAAAACACUAGUGUGGGUUAAGCGAAUGCUAAAUUAACUAAAAUUUUAAAUAAAAAAUAUUAAUAUGAGUUAAACGGACGCUAAAUUAAAUAAAUUUAAAAAAAAAAACUAACAUGGAUAAGCAGACGUUAAAUUAAAAUAAAAAAAUAUCAACUUGAGUCAAACUAAUGCUAAAUUAAAUAAAAUUUAAAAUAAAAAACAUUAGUGUCAACUAAACUGAUGCUAAACUACAUUAAUUAAAAAAUUAAUUUAAAAAUGAGUGACAAAUCGAUCUUCAAAAGUGAUAUGCUCAUUAUUUACACAGUAAAUUACUACUAAAGAAAAUGUUUUUUUGUCUGAUUUUUAGUGAAACGUAGGACAUACAACAUUAAUUUAAAAAAGUAACCGAUAUAGUAUGCACACUUUUUACAUCAAUUGAUAAUCGAUAUAGAAACUUCCCUAUUUUUUAUAUCGUCUGCAUCAUCUAUGUUGAUCAUGCAAUCGAUGUAAAAAAUAAUUUUCUAAUAGUUAUUUUAAUAACUAAUAAUAUUUUAUGACCAAAUUUAAUAAUAAUUAAUUUAAUGACCAAUUUUAAUGAUAAAAGAAAUCAUUUAUUAGAAAUUCAAACUUUAUUUAAGAAAAUAAUUAAAAUAAAUAAGUAUAAUAUAAAACAUUGAGUUCAUAAUUAAAAUAAAUAAUUAUAUUAUAACAAUGUAACAUUGUUAGGCCAAUAAAUGUCAAGUAAAGUCUUUCCAACUUAAUUCGAAUUAGUAGUCAGCGAUUGAUAACUAAUUAUUUAUUACUUAAUCGUUAACUAGAUUAAUAACUAUAAGCUUAGUAACAUUCAAAGUUCUACACAAAGGAAAAUAUUGUAUGAUAGGUGAUUGUUGAAGUUUGAAAUGUUAGUCCAGAUAAGAUGUCAGACUUCAUAGUGAUAUAUAACAUAAAGAUUUAAAGGAAAAAAAAAAUUUCAAUGCAAACUUUGUGUCCCAAAGUUCUUAAUGACAAAACACCAAACACAAAUCAUACAACAUAACAUAAAUUUGCUAAGCUCACUCCUACUAGUUCUUGAUGAACUUUAUUAUAAGUACUUUAUACAUAAGAUCGAUGAAAUUAAUUAAAGAGUAAUUAAUUAGGCCCCAUAAUACAUCAAUUAUUAUUUCUUAGAUAGCAACAUCAUAUAAGAUAUGUGAGUAAGGUAAGAAUCAAUGUUCUUACUCAUCUCAACUACCAAUUGCAACAAGGUGUGAGGAUCAGGAAUGUGGUUUUCUUGUUUCUCAAACACCAGUGUCCACUGCACCACACUGCCAUUUCCCUUUGGAGUAACUUGUAAAUUAAGUUUGAAGCUCUUUUUUCUUUGGAGUAACUUGCAAAUUAAAUUUAAAGCUCUUGUAAAGUCCCAACAGGUCUUCCUCUAAAACUUUGAAUUACAAUUUUCCCUAUCUAUGUCGUCAACCACCUCCCUUGCCACAACUUUGUUAUAAACUUAUUUCUCUCUAAUUUAUCAAAAACUUGGCAUCAAUAAUCACAAUGUCUCAAAUUAUUCAUGUAAAUAUUAUUAUAAAACUGAUUUUCUUUUAAUCCUUGAAAAUAAAUUGAAUGUGAAUAAAUAAAUAAAAGAAUAUAAUGCAUAAAAAUAAUACUUGAGUGUUACUAAAGACGUCAAAUAAUAUGGUUAAGCAAAUCAGAUUAUGACUAUCAUAAGAGAAAUUGCAAGGAAUGCAAUGUUUUGUUAAUAAACACUACAAGAAAAUCAUUAAAUCAAUUUUAGAAAAAAAAUAAUUAGUUUUUAUAUUGAUUAAAUUAGAUACUAUUUUAGAUACUAAAAAGAAUUAUUAGUAUCUUAAUUAGUUUUUAUUAUUGAUAAAUAAUUCCUAAAUUGAUAUCUAAUUAGUUACCAGGAUUUUAGCUGGGAAGUAUUUAGAUUUUAAAGUUGGUAGCUAAUUAAAUACCGAUUUAAAAACUAUUUAUCAAUAAUGAAAACUAAUUUAAAUAUCAAUAAUAAUUUUUUUUAGCCUCUAAAAUAUUAUCUAAUUUAGUCAAUAUAACAACUAAUUAUUUUUUGUCUCUAAAAUUGAUUUCUAUUUAAUGAUUUUCUAGUAAUGAAUUUAGAAACUAAAGUUUGCAUACCAAGUGUGUAAUUCCAGGAAAUGAUGGAUCCCUCAGUGCCCCAUUCUCCUUUGUGGAUUUGAACAGACUGUAUUUUUUGAGGUAAAAUGUUGGCAAUAUGGUGUGGCCUGUUGCAAAAAACAUCAUAGAACUGUUGGGCAGAAGCCUUGAGAUGGACAUUAGUUUCAAUCUUUUGAAGUUGAGAGCAUGCCAUUUUUGCCUCACUCCUAAGAAGGUAUGAAAAAUAUAUGUGGACAAUACACCUAUAUAUACUUCUCUUCUCUUGAAUUUGUCUUGUUGGAAUAUCCUAACAACAUAUAUUAUUUAUUAAGAGUUUUUGUUCUAUUAUAUGAAAAUAAAAAUAUAUUUAAAAUAUUUAAUAUAAGUUUUUAAUAAAAAAAUAAUUAGUUAUGGAAGGAAUAUAUGUGAUAUGUGAGCCCAUAAAUGAAAGGAAUAUAUGUGCUUUGAAGUUUAUAUGUGCUUUGAAGUUUCAGCUGAACCACCACUAGUGGAGGAGGCAUCUUCUUUCCUUUAGAUUUUAUGGGCUCACAUGGCAGAAAAGGGAUAACCAUGAUUCAAAGUUCAUAAUAAAAAUGGCAAGUGCAUAUUGUAAGUGCUGAUAGAAUUUUAAUUCUCCAUGUUACUAAAACAUUAUUUUAAUCCAUAGUGUAGAAUAUUCUAGUUUCUCCCAAUCUGAUUUUUUUUCUCUCUAGAAAUUUAUACUUAAAUUAAGUGUUAGCAUGUUUGAGAAUACAUUGAAGUUAGUUCUCUUCACACAAAUAAUUGAAGGUUAGCUUAAUUUAAUAUUUUGUAUAAGUAAUGUGAUUAUUUUACUCUAAUCACAAGUUUAGUCAAGACACCACCCUUGGUAAAAAAAAACUGUGGUUAGUGGUAGAUAAAAAAAAGGAAAAUUUCCUUAUGACACCACUAUUUAAAAAUACAUCUAUUCCACAACUAUUUUUUAUAUUAAAAUAAUAACUUUAUAUGGAUAUCAAAUGAAUGAAAUAAUAAUUUUAUACGGAUAUCAAAUGAAUGAAAAAAAAAUUAAUGAUAAAUGAUUUAAUGUAGCUAAUAAACUCCAAGCAUAAAAGUUUUAAAAUCUAUACUUAUUGUAGUAAUAUCAAACUCAUGAAUUCACUUAAUUUUAAUCGAAUCAAAUUUUUUUUCGCUCUAACAUAAGUUUUUAUUAAAAUAAAAUAAUGUUCAUUAAUUAUAUAUAUAUAUAUAUUCGAUAUUUUACUCCUAUAUUUAGUAGAAAUGUUAAGUAACUCAUAAGGGAAUAGUUAUUGUUUUAAGUGAAAGGUUAGGACCGGUUAAAGCACAUUAUUAAACCAAAAAGAAAGUAAACCAAAAAGAAAGUAAAGAGAAUUACAAGAAAUAUAAAAGGAUUGCCAAAACUUAUGAAAGAAAAAAAAAUUGUCUCACAAAAUGAAAAAAAAAGGAGAGAUUUGUCUUAUUUUGAAUAAAGUCAUAAGCUAUGAGUUUUUUUGGGAUGAUUGUUUUCACUUAGGUUAAAAAGUAUAAUGAGAUUGAUUUACUGUGAUAAUGAGUGAGACUCGUAAGAGUGUAGGUUAAAUAGUCUCUCAUUCUUUUGUAUCUCAUUCUUUGUAUAUAGUUUGGAACAUUUCUUAAAUAUUUCACUUUAAUUUUAAUUUAUCUUUUAUAUUAAAUAAUACAUUUCUUAUUGAAAGUCUAAAGAAAAGUCACAUUCAAUCUAUAAAAAAUGUCAUUCCAUUUUUACGAUGUACUCCAAAGCAAAUAUGAUGGAAAAUAUUACAACAACAAGAACUAACUUUGUAUUUGUAGAAUGUGGUUAGGUCAUAAUACUAGUCACUUUGCAUGUAUUAUGAGCAAUCUCUAUGAUUCUAUUUAUGUUUAAUCUUAAACAUUGUUACAUAUUUAAGUUAGUGCCAACAAUCCUAUACUUAUAUUAGUUGACUAGGUGAUUAGGUUCAAAAAAGAAAAUAAGAAGAAAAUACUCUAAGAGCAAACACAUUUCAUGAUUUAAUGGGGAUGACACAUAUUUGGAUCUUUUUAGCAAGACAAUUGGAUGAAACAAAUAUGUCUAUUUUGGAAUAACUCAAUUUGGAUUAUAUGUGAAUAGAAACUAAUUUUAGAAAAAAAAAUAAUUAGUUACUAUAUUUACUAAAUUAAAUAUUAAAAUAAUUAUUUUAGUCUCUAAAAUAGUAUCUAAAAAAAAUUAAUUAUUUUUUGUUUUUAAAAUUAAUUUCUAUUUUUUUGCCUCAAUCUUAAUUUUUAAAUAUUGUAUUCAUUAUUUCUUAUGGAAUUUGUGCUCGAAAAUGACACUGAACCACUCUUUGAUUUCUUAUCCAGAUUCUAGUAAUAAUUGGUUUUUAAAUUGAUAUUUAAUUAUUAGUUAUCAAAAUUUUAGCUUACUCACAACUUUAUAUUCUAACUUUAUAUCUAUUAGUCUUUUAGAGAUUAAUUUAGAAUUUAAAGUAUUAGUAACUAAAAUCUUGAUAGCUAAUUUAGAUAAUAAUUUAAAAAUUAUUUUAUAAAUUUUUAUUAAUAAUAGAAAUCACUUUAGUUACAAAUAAUUUUUUAAUCUCUAAAAUAGUAUCUAAUUUAGUUAAUAUAGUUAAUAUAGUGAUUAAUUAUUUUUUGUCUCUAAUUUUAGUUAUUAUUUGAUAAAUUUUUUAGUGUAAAAUAUAUAGUUUUUGAAAAUUUAUGGUAGAUAUGAUUUAUUAAAAUAAGUAAAAUAUAUUUGUUCAUUACUAUUUAUAAUUGAAAGUAAUUUAUAUUUUAUUGUUGGGAAAGUUCACAAAUUUGUAAGAAGCUGAACUUGAAAAGCUAUUUUCGGAAAACAUUUUUAAGGAAUAUUAUUUUUUUAAAGCAUCAAUCAAAAACCUUGAAACAAACAAUUCUUAACUUCUUAUUUAUGAGAAACUACUUUUUCUUUAUAUUAAAUAUUUCUAAUAUUUCUUAUGCCUCAUUUAAUCAAAUUAUUAUUGUCGAUAAAAAUAAAUCACCCCAAAUAUUUUUAUGUUAAAAUAAAAAUAUUAUUUUUAUAUCUUAAUUGAGGGACUUUCGCCUUUUUUGUGAAUACAAGUUGUUAAAGCGAAUGUGUGUUGCUCAAAUGACACAUCUCUAAUUUGAAUUAUAUGCUAUUAUAUAUAUAUAUAUAUAUAUAUAAUCAUUGAAUUAAUGUGUAUGAAAUGAAUGGAUACAUUGAGAUAUAUGAAGAUUGAAUUGAGGGAAUAAAAAAUUAAUAUUUGGGAUGGUAACAUAGUCAAGUUAUUUUCGUUGUUUUAAGUGUAAGAGUCCGUAAGAGAAUAAGAUAUUGUAAUUUUACUAAAUAGUUUAAAUCACAUAUAUUAAGGUAUCCCACAAAAUGAGAAACAAAAGAAGGUUAUUACGUCAAGUUUUCAUAUCGUAAGCACAAAAAAUCACCUCAACAUAAGAAUUGAGGUUGAAUUACCAAAAUUACUUAAUAUGAAUAUUCUAGAAAGGGUCAAGUUUGUAGCAAAAUUAUCUUGAUGCUAUAAGAGAUACAAUGUGUGUGUGUGUUGACUUUUAAAAUAAAUAAAAAAAACAUUAGCAAGGACCAAACCCAUGUUAAAUUAAAUAAAUUUUAAAAUAUAAAACAUUAGUCUAGGUCAAGCGAACGCUAAAUGAAAUAAAUUUGUAAAUAAAAAACAUUAGUAUGGACUAAACGAACACUAAAUUAAAUAAAGUUUAAAAUAAAAAAACACUGACAUGGAUCAAGCGGACGUUAAAUUAAAUAAUUUUUAAAAUAAAAAUAUUAGUGUGGGUCAAGUUGACGCUAAAUUAAAUAACUUUUAAAAUAAAAAACAUUAGUGUCAAUCAACUAAACUGAUGCUAUACUACUUUAAUUAAAAAACUAAUUUAAAAAUGAGUGACAAAUCGAUCUUAAAAAAUCAACACUAAAGAACUUCAAAUGUGAUAUGUGCAUUAUCUACAUUGACUUUGGUAAAUUACUACCAAAAAAAUGCUUUUUUUUAUUGAUUUUUGGUGAAACGUAGGACAUAUAACAUUAUUUUUAAAAAUUAACCGAUAUAUUUUGGAAACUUUUUACGUUGUUGAUAAUCAAUAUAGAAACUUCCCUAUUUUAUAUAUAUAUAUAUAUCAAGUAACCGAUGUAAAAAUUGGUUUUUCUAGUAGUUAUUUUAAUAACUAAUAAUAUUUUAUGAUCAAAUUUAGUAAUAAUUAAUUUUGUGACCAAUUUUAAUGAUAAAAGAAAUAAAAAACUUAUUUAAAAAAAUAAUUAAAAUAAAUAAGUAUAAUAUAAAAUAUUGAGUUUAUAAUUAAAAUAAAUAAUGAUAAUAUAACGAUGUAAGGCCAUAAGUGUCAAGUAAAGACUUUUCAACCUAAUUUGAAUUAGUAGUCAUUUUAAUUAGUAAUUGAUAACUAAAUAUUUGUUAAUUUACCACUAACUAGGUUAAUAAAUAUAAGCUUAGUAACAUUUAAAAUUUUACACAAAAGUAAAGAAGAUCGUUGUAAAAUGGAUGAUUGUUGAAGUUUGAAACGAUAGCCUAGCCGAAACGUCAGACUUCAUAGUAAUAUAUAACAUAAAUUUUUAAAGAAAUAAAAAAGAUUUCAAAAUGACAAAACACCAAACACAAAUUAUACAUAACAUAAAUUUUCCUAGCUCACUCCUAUUGGUUCCUGAUGCACUUUAUUAUAAGUACUUUAUACGUAAUAUUGAUGGAAUUAAUUAAGGGAUACAUCAAAUGUUAUUUCUUAGACAUCAACAACAUAAGAUAUGAGCUUUAUUUAUAUUUGACAACUAAUGAUCUAGUUGUUCUCUUGAGUAAGGUAAGAAUCAAUGUUCUUACUCAUCUCAACUACCAAUUGCAACAAGGUGUGAGGAUCAGGAAUGUGGUUUUCUUGUUUCUCAAACACCAGUGUCCACUGCACCACACUGCCAUUUCCCUUUGGAGUAACUUGAAAAUCAGUUUUGAAGCUCUUGUAAAGUCCCAGCAAGUCUCCCUCUAAAACCUUGAAGCUCAGUUUACAGUUUUCCUUAUUUAUGCCUUCAACCACCUCCUUUGCCACAUAUUUUUUUUCAUCUGUUGUUAUCCAAACUAAAAUUUUAGAUUCUUUAUAAACUUAUUUCCCUCUAAUUUCUCAAAAAUUUGGCACCAUUAAUCACAAUGUCUCAAAUUAUUCAUGUAAAUAUUAUUAUAAAGCUAGUGUUCUUUUAAUCCUUGAAAAUAAAUCAAAUGUGAAUAAAUAAAUAAAAGAAUAUAUAAUGCAUAAAAAUAAUAUUUGAUUGAUAAUAAAGACCUUAAAUAAUAUAGUUAAGCAACUCCGAUUAUGAUGCUCAUAAGAGAAAUAGCAAGGAAUGUAAUGUUUUUUUAAUAAACACUACAAGAAAAUUAUUAAAUCAAUUUUGAAGAAAAAAUAAUUAGUUUUUAUAUUGAUUAAAUUAGAUACUAUAUUAAAGACUAAAAAGAAGUAUUGGUAUCUAAAUUAAUUUUUAUUAUUGAUAAAUAAUUCCUAAAUUGGUAUCUAAUUAGCUAUCAAGAUUUUAGUUACCCACUAUUUAGAUUUUAAAGUUGGUAACUAAUUAAAUAUCAAUUUAAAAACUAAAAUGAUAUCUAAUUUAGUUAAUAUGAUAACUAAUUAUUUUUUAUUUUUAAAAUUAAUUUUUAUUUAAUGAUUUUCUAGUAAUAAAAGUUGAGCAAUGGAAGUUUGCAUACCAAGUGUGUAAUUCUAGGAAAUGAUGGAUCCCUCAGUGCCCCAUUCUCCUUUGUGGAUUUGAACAGACUGUAUUUUUUAGGUAAAAUGUUGGCUAUAUGGUGUGGCCUGUUGCAAAAAACAUCAUAGAACUGUUGAGCAGAAGCCUUGAGAUGGACCUUAGUUUCAAUCUUUUAAAGUUGAGAGUAUGCCAUUUCUCCUUCACUCCUAAGAAGGUAUGAAAAAUAUAUGUGAACAAUACACCUAUAUAUA
RNAcentral lists this long non-coding RNA (9979 nucleotides) under Phaseolus vulgaris (common bean). RNAcentral's name for it is "long non-coding RNA (PVUL_LNC002828)". Lineage: Eukaryota; Viridiplantae; Streptophyta; Magnoliopsida; Fabales; Fabaceae. The record is from RNAcentral.